This is a non-coding RNA of Coturnix japonica (Japanese quail), 2944 nucleotides long. NCBI's taxonomy places the organism in Eukaryota, Metazoa, Chordata, Aves, Galliformes, Phasianidae. The record is from RefSeq and is a predicted model, not a curated record.
CCCCGCGCCGGCCGCGCCGCCAGCGCCAGCGGCAGCCGGAGCGAGCCCGGGGCCGCCCCAAAGCCGCCCCAACGCCCCGGUGCCGUCCGGCAGCGCCCGCCGGAGGAUGCCCCGACGGCCCCGUCGCCGGAGGGGGUUUGUCCGGCCCGGUCAGCGCCGAGAGCCGGGGGGACGGCGGGUCGGGGCCGCCCCCGGAGCCGGCGUUCCUCGCGGGGCGCCCCCCGGCAGCCUGAGAGCCCCCGCGCCGCGCAUGGGGGGCACGGGGCUCCCCCGCUGCUCCGCCACUGCCGCGAGAGGACAGGGAGAGCCGCGGGCAGACACACAGGGGAGCGGCGCAACCGUACCGCCGCGGAGCGCAGCGCUGUUUCUAGGCCAUCACCUCCCCCCGGGCGCUGCCCGCCGGAGGGGCCCGGCCGUGCCCCGCGGGGGGGGGGGACAAACAGCCGAACCUCGGCGAGAAAAGGGCACGGGGCCGGGGUUCGGGAGUGCUGCUGGGAGAGCGGGAGGAACCGGGAGGCAGCCUGCCUGGGAAGCGGGGAAAGAGGAAGAGAGGGAAAGCGUUUCCCUUUCGAACGGCGCCGGGACGGUCCGUGACUUUUGCACGGAAAAUUCAGGUGAUGGGAGUGAGGCCGCUCCUCGUCCCGGGACCGGGGGCAGCUGAGAGUCCGGCAGCAAACCCCAGCCCUAUGGGAGCAACAGAGAGAGCAGCGCGGGGGGCUGCUGGAGGCGACAGUUCGGCAGAAGGCGGACGGGGGGAGGGGGGUUUAAGGCUGCAGCCGCUCCGCGUUCCCCCGCAGGAGCCAGCGGUGCCAGGAGGGCAGCGGAGCUCCCCGUACCGGGCCGGGCAUAAAUCCUCCUGUCAGAGAGGGGGCAAUUACGAGGCCGUAAAAAAGUCAGGAAGAUGGAUGCUCUCGAAUGAUGACUGAUUGCUAUUUGUGGUGGUGUUCGUAUGGGAAGCCCGAAGCUGGAUCCCGAAGCCUGCGGACGACGCUCCUGCCAACGCUCCGGGCUCUCCGGCUCAGCGCUGUGCCCGCCGCCGGGUGCCCCGGGGCGCUGCCGUAGGGCAGGGGCAGCCCGCAGCCCCACAGCGGCACGGUCCCACUGCAGGGCACGGAGCAGAGUGCAGUGCACCAACCACGGAGGAAUGGAAUCGGCAGUUGGGAAGUUACAGAACACUAAGAGCCAGGAAAUGAGCAGAUUAGAAAACUGAAUUUCCUCGCUGUCUUCCCCCUCGCGUGUACACAAAUAGCUAAUCUGAGACAGGUUUAUGGCCUUCACUUAUUUACUGGUGUGUCUCUCUGGCUAUCGUGCCCAUCAUCUGAGAUGUAAGCAGCAGAAGGGGAGCAUCAGAAAGGUGCAGUUGGGAUUUUUACUAGAAAUGGGUCGUAAAAAACGAGUAUGUUUUUAAAUAAUGGCCUUCCAGCCUAUUAUGGGAUAUAGAUUUAUUAGUCACUUUUAUGUUUGAAGCCAGGUUUGAAAACAACCUAGAUGUUGUUAGCGAAGUUUGGCUCUGAGGAAUGGAAAGCUGGUGUGUUAUGUUUGUGGGGUGUUUUUUUAUUAAAGGUUAAGGGACCAGAUUAAGAACAGCUGGAAAGGGUCACAGCUUGCGCGAGCGAGAGAGCAAUCAGCAGAUUGCCAGAUACACCUCGAGAAACAGAGCUGGUUUCCAUCUAUGCAAUGAGCCAACUUCAUGGAGGCAGAAGCAGGGCCCCGAGAGCUGUGAGCACGUGACUCCUAACGGCUUCCCAGCAUUUGGUAAAUAACCGUGCCCAGGAGAUGCCUUUUAAGUCUAGGUGCAUCAAAACAGCACAGAUGUAUUGCAGUACUGGAUGGAGUCAUUGAACCAUUAAGGUUGUAGAAGACCUCUAAGAUCAUCCAGUCUAAUUGUCCACUUACCACCAAUAUUGCCUACUAAACCAUUUCCCUCAGUACUGCAUCACCACAUUUCUUGAACGCCUCCAGGGACAGUGACUCUGCCACCUCCCCUGGCAACCUGUUACGGGACUUUACCACUGUUUCUGGGAAGACAUUUUUUCCUAACAUCCAACCUGAACCUCCCCUGGCACAACUUAAGGCCAUUACCUCUAAUCACUAGGAAAAAGAGCCCAACUCUCACCACAAUCUCCUUUCCAGGAGCUGUAGAGAGAAAUGAGGUCUCUCCUGAGUAGCCUUCUCCAGACAGAACAAUACCCCAGUUCCCACAGACAUUCCCCAUAAGACCUGUGCUCCAAAUCCUUCACAGCUUCACUUCUCUUCUCUGGACACACUCCAGGACUUCAAUGUCUUUCUACAAGUAGUGAGAGGCCCCAAACUGAACACAGUACUGGAGGUGCGGCCUCACCAGUGGAUGACAACACAUACCAACAGCUGCAGUUCAGGUGUUCUGCACAUACUGUUUCUGAAGGUCUCCAACAAAAAGGCAGCAGUCAUUUAAUGCUGUAGGUGAUGAGCCAAGAAGAAGAUAAGUUCUACAAAAGACAAGGAACACUUCCCAUUUUGGAGACUUCUCAUGCAUUGGCCUAAAAACACAAAAGUUGUUGGUUGUGGUUCAUUAUUCAUGAUACUAUUCUACCAGAUGGCUAUCAACAGGUAAGAGCAUCUCAAGCAAUAUCUUGAACAAAUAGUUACAGGCAACUGAAAAUCCUAUCUUUCUCCUCUGGUGAAGAGACCUUUUGGGAAGGCCCAUUCUUAUCCUGCAUUAAGUGAACAGCUCAGUAAUUCACUGAAGUUCUGGGGAUGUGGACUUUUCUGCACUUGUGGAGCCAGGCUCCUUAUAAUGAACAGACAUCUUAAAUAACCCAAAGAAACAUUUUCAUAUAAUUAGUUUAUCAAAGCAAUGUAUUUAAAUGUCAUUUUCCUGUUGUUUGAAAAAGAAUGAGAGUCCAGAGAUGAAGCUCUGGUAUAUUAAAAAGCAAAUAGAAAUAAAUAUUAUGUUCCAUGGUUA